Molecule: ribosomal RNA, 411 nt
Filed under: uncultured Megasphaera sp.
Lineage: Bacteria; Bacillati; Bacillota; Negativicutes; Veillonellales; Veillonellaceae
Description: bacterial SSU rRNA
Rfam family: Bacterial small subunit ribosomal RNA
Source: RNAcentral
UACAGCCGGAAACGGCUGCUAAUACCGAAUACGAUCUUUCGUCGCAUGACGGAAAAAGGAAGAAAAGGAAUGGCCUCUAUACAAAGCUAUCGCCGAAGGAGGGGUUUUGCGUCUGAUUAGCUGGUUGGAGGGGUAACGGCCCAACAAGGCGAUGAUCAGUAGCCGGUCUGAGAGGAUGAACGGCCACAUUGGGACUGAGACACGGCCCAGACUCCUACGGGAGGCAGCAGUGGGGAAUCUUCCGCAAUGGACGAAAGUCUGACGGAGCAACGCCGCGUGAGUGAAGAAGGUCUUCGGAUUGUAAAGCUCUGUUAUACGGGACGAAAAAAGACGGAUGCCAACAGUAUCCGUCCGUGACGGUACCGUAAGAGAAAGCCACGGGCUAACUACGUGCCAGCAGCCGCGGUAAAU